AGAGUUUGAUCAUGGCUCAGAAUCAACGCUGGCGGCGUGCCUAACACAUGCAAGUCGAACGAGAGAGUGGAGCAAUCCAUGAGUAAAGUGGCGACCGGGUGAGUAACACGUGACUAACCUACCUUCGAGUGGGGGAUAACCUAGGGAAACCUGGCCUAAUACCGCAUAAUGCCUUCGGGUUAAAGGAGCAAUUCGCUUGAAGAGGGGGUCGCGGCCGAUUAGGUAGUUGGCGGGGUAACGGCCCACCAAGCCCGUGAUCGGUAGCCGGCCUGAGAGGGCGCACGGCCACACUGGAACUGAAACACGGUCCAGACUCCUACGGGAGGCAGCAGUGGGGAAUUUUGCGCAAUGGAGGAAACCCUGACGCAGCAACGCCGCGUGGAGGAUGAAGUCCUUUGGGACGUAAACUCCUUUCGACCGGGACGAUUAUGACGGUACCGGUGGAAGAAGCCCCGGCUAACUUCGUGCCAGCAGCCGCGGUAAUACGAGGGGGGCAAGCGUUGUUCGGAAUUAUUGGGCGUAAAGGGCGCGUAGGCGGUGCGGUAAGUCACCUGUGAAACCUCCGGGCUUAACUCGGAGCCUGCAGGCGAAACUACCGUGCUUGAGUGUGGGAGAGGUGCGUGGAAUUCCCGGUGUAGCGGUGAAAUGCGUAGAUAUCGGG
RNAcentral lists this ribosomal RNA (661 nucleotides) under uncultured soil bacterium. RNAcentral's name for it is "bacterial SSU rRNA". It matches the Rfam family "Bacterial small subunit ribosomal RNA", at positions 8 to 701 of the family's 1533-position model. The record is from RNAcentral.